GAAAUGCGAUAAGUAAUGUGAAUUGCAGAAUUCAGUGAAUCAUCGAAUCUUUGAACGCACCUUGCGCUCCUUGGUAUUCCUUGGAGCAUGCCUGUUUGAGUAUCAUGAAAUCUUCAAAGUAAAUCUUUUGUUAACUCAAUUGGUUUCUACUUUGGUAUUGGAGGUCUUUGCAGCUUCACACCUGCUCCUCUUUGUUCAUUAGCUGGAUCUCAGUGUUAUGCUUGGUUCCACUCGGCGUGAUAAGUUAUCUAUCGCUGAGGACACUGUAAAAGGUGGCCAAGGUAAAUGCAGAUGAACCGCUUCUAAUAGUCCAUUGACUUGGACAAUACUUUUAUGAUCUGAUCUCAAAUCAGGUAGGACCACCCGCCGAACUUAAGC
This 378-nucleotide unclassified non-coding RNA is filed under the name plant metagenome. Its description in RNAcentral is "partial contains 5.8S ribosomal RNA, internal transcribed spacer 2, and large subunit ribosomal RNA". The stretch from base 1 to 105 matches the Rfam family "5.8S ribosomal RNA", at positions 50 to 154 of the family's 154-position model. The record is from RNAcentral.